This 301-nucleotide ribosomal RNA is filed under the name uncultured bacterium. RNAcentral's name for it is "partial 16S ribosomal RNA". It matches the Rfam family "Bacterial small subunit ribosomal RNA", at positions 509 to 807 of the family's 1533-position model. The record is from RNAcentral.
CAGUAGCCGCGGUAAUACGGAGGGGGCUAGCGUUGUUCGGAAUUACUGGGCGUACAGCGCACGUAGGCGGCUUGGUAAGUUAGAGGUGAAAGCCUGGAGCUCAACUCCAGAAUUGCCUUUAAGACUGCCGAGCUAGCAGGUGAGAGAGGUAAGUGGAAUUCCGAGUGUAGAGGUGAAAUUCGUAGAUAUUCGGAAGAACACCAGUGGCGAAGGCGGCCAUCUGGGACAACACUGACGCUGAGGCACGAAAGCGUGGGGAGCAAACAGGAUUAGAUACCCCCGUAGUCCCUGUCUCUUAUAC